RNAcentral lists this ribosomal RNA (406 nucleotides) under uncultured bacterium. RNAcentral's name for it is "partial 16S ribosomal RNA". It matches the Rfam family "Bacterial small subunit ribosomal RNA", at positions 30 to 526 of the family's 1533-position model. The record is from RNAcentral.
AUCGAACGCUGGCGGCAUGCCUAACACAUGCAAGUCGAACGAGUGGCGGACGGGUGAGUAAUGUCUGGGAAACUGCCUGACGGAGGGGGAUAACUACUGGAAACGGUAGCUAAUACCGCAAACCAUCAGAUGUGCCCAGAUGGGAUUAGCUAUGUGGUGGGGUAACGGCUCACCAAGGCGACGAUCCCUAGCUGGUCUGAGAGGAUGACCAGCCACACUUGAACUGAGACACGGUCCAGACUCCUACGGGAGGCAGCAUGGGGGAAUAUUGCACAAUGGGCGCAAGCCUGAUGUAGCCAUGCCGCGUGUAUGAAGAAGGCCUUCGGGUUGUAAAGUACUUUCAGCGGGGAGGCGUUACCCGCAGAAGAAGCACCGGCUAACUCCGUGCCAGCAGACGCGGUAAUUC